This 67-nucleotide transfer RNA is filed under the name Gekko kuhli. RNAcentral describes it as "Ptychozoon kuhli tRNA-Trp". The record is from RNAcentral. Lineage: Eukaryota; Metazoa; Chordata; Lepidosauria; Squamata; Gekkonidae.
AGAAACUUAGGUUACCCAAACCAAGGGCCUUCAAAGCCCUAAACAGGCCCACCAGGCCUAGUCUCUG